This 253-nucleotide ribosomal RNA is filed under the name uncultured bacterium. Its description in RNAcentral is "partial 16S ribosomal RNA". It matches the Rfam family "Bacterial small subunit ribosomal RNA", at positions 524 to 776 of the family's 1533-position model. The record is from RNAcentral.
UACGGAGGGUGCAAGCGUUAUCCGGAUUCACUGGGUUUAAAGGGUGCGUAGGUGGGUUGGUAAGUCAGUGGUGAAAUCUCCGGGCUUAACUCGGAAACUGCCGUUGAUACUAUCAAUCUUGAAUAUUGUGGAGGUAAGCGGAAUAUGUCAUGUAGCGGUGAAAUGCGUAGAUAUGACAUAGAACACCGAUAGCGAAGGCAGCUUGCUACACAAUUAUUGACACUGAGGCACGAAAGCGUGGGGAUCAAACAGG